This 305-nucleotide ribosomal RNA is filed under the name uncultured bacterium. RNAcentral describes it as "bacterial SSU rRNA". It matches the Rfam family "Bacterial small subunit ribosomal RNA", at positions 334 to 636 of the family's 1533-position model. The record is from RNAcentral.
CAGUGCCUACGGGACGCAGCAGUGAGGAAUAUUGGUCAAUGGGCGAGAGCCUGAACCAGCCACGUCGCGUGAAGGAUGAAGGAUCUAUGGUUUGUAAACUUCUUUUAUAUGGGAAUAAAGUGAGGAACGUGUUCCUCUUUGUAUGUACCAUAUGAAUAAGCAUCGGCUAACUCCGUGCCAGCAGCCGCGGUAAUACGGAGGAUGCGAGCGUUAUCCGGAUUUAUUGGGUUUAAAGGGUGCGUAGGCGGGCUUUUAAGUCAGCGGUAAAAAUUCGGGGCUCAACCCCGUCCGGCCGUUGAAACUGG